RNA transcript from Lemur catta (Ring-tailed lemur), 4172 nucleotides. It is a transcript of the gene named ATPase H+/K+ transporting non-gastric alpha2 subunit, with no coding region annotated. NCBI's taxonomy places the organism in Eukaryota, Metazoa, Chordata, Mammalia, Primates, Lemuridae. The record is from RefSeq and is a predicted model, not a curated record. The transcript is spliced from 23 exons.
UGGGCUCCGCGGUCGCCGCUGCCCGCACCCCGCGCCCGCCCGCCCGCAGCAUGCGCCAGAAAACACUAGAAAUUUACUCUGUGGAGCUCAAUGGAACUAAAGACAUCGAGAAAACAGACGAGGGGGAUGGCAAGGAGAAGAAGUACAGGGGCCUGAAGAACAAAGGCCCGGACCCCAAAAAGCAGCAUCAGAAAGAGGAGUUUAAGAAAGAACUCGACCUGGAUGACCACAAACUCAGCCACAAGGAAUUGGAAAGGAAAUAUGGUACGGACAUCGUUACGGGUCUCUCCAGCUCCAGAGCUGCCGAGCUGCUGGUUCGGGACGGGCCCAACGCCCUCACCCCUCCCAAGCAGACGCCGGAGAUUAUCAAGUUCCUCAGGCAGAUGGUGGGGGGCUUCUCCAUCCUCCUGUGGAUAGGAGCCGUCCUGUGCUACAUCGCGUAUGGGAUUCUGUACUCCAACGACUCCUCUUCCUCCCUAGACAACGUGUACCUGGGCUCCGUACUUAUCCUGGUCGUCAUUUUAACGGGGAUCUUUGCUUAUUACCAAGAGGCAAAAAGCACCAACAUCAUGUCCAGCUUCAGUAAGAUGAUCCCGCAGCAAGCCAUCGUCAUCCGAGAUUCCGAGAAGAAGAUAAUCCCCGCAGAGCAGCUUGUGGUGGGGGACAUCGUGGAGGUCAAAGGAGGAGACCAGAUCCCCGCGGACAUCAGGGUGCUGUUUUCUCAGGGGUGCAAGGUGGAUAAUUCGUGUCUCACGGGGGAAUCUGAGCCCCAGUCCCGCUCUUCUGAGUUCACCCACGAAAACCCCCUGGAAACGAAGAACAUCUGCUUCUAUUCCACAACCUGUCUGGAAGGCACCGUCACCGGCAUGGUCAUCAGCACGGGUGACCGCACCGUCAUCGGCCGCAUUGCCUCCUUGGCUUUGGGAGUUGGAAACGAGAAGACGCCCAUUGCCAUUGAGAUCGAGCACUUUGUUCACAUCGUGGCAGGGGUGGCCGUCACCAUCGGCGUCAUAUUCUUCAUCAUCGCAGUGUGCAUGCAGUACUACAUCAUCGAUGCCAUCAUCUUCCUCAUCAGCAUCAUCGUGGCCAACGUGCCUGAGGGCCUGCUGGCCACUGUCACCGUGACACUAUCGCUGACCGCCAAGCGGAUGGCCAAGAAGAACUGCCUGGUGAAGAACCUGGAGGCGGUGGAGACCCUGGGCUCCACCUCCAUCAUCUGCUCCGACAAGACCGGGACUCUGACCCAGAACAGGAUGACCGUGGCCCAUCUGUGGUUCGACAGCCAGAUCUUCGUGGCGGACACCAGCGAAGACCAUUCCAACCAAGCCUUUGACCAAAGCUCCCAGACUUGGGCCUCCUUAUCCAAGAUCAUAACGUUGUGUAACCGGGCCGAGUUCAAGCCAGGGCAGGAAAGUGUCCCCAUCAUGAAGAAAGUCGUGGUUGGAGAUGCCUCCGAAACUGCUCUUUUGAAAUUCUCAGAGGUCAUUUUGGGUGAUGUGAUGGAAAUUAGAAAAAGAAAUCGCAAAGUAGCUGAAAUCCCCUUUAACUCUACUAACAAAUUUCAGCUCUCCAUACACGAGACGGAGGACCCCAGCGACCGGCGCUUCCUCAUGGUGAUGAAGGGGGCCCCGGAGCGGAUCCUGGAGAAGUGCAGCAGCAUCAUGAUCAACGGCCAGGAGCAGCCGCUGGACGCGGGCACGGCCAAGGCCUUCCACACGGCCUACAUGGAGCUGGGCGGGCUGGGCGAGCGCGUGCUGGGUUUCUGUCACCUCUACCUGCCAACAGACAAGUUCCCAGAAACCUACUCAUUUGACACGGACGCCAUGAACUUCCCCACCUCCAACCUCUGCUUUGUGGGGCUCUUGUCAAUGAUCGACCCCCCUCGGUCCACUGUGCCGGACGCCGUCACCAAGUGCCGCAGCGCGGGGAUCAAGGUCAUCAUGGUCACCGGCGAUCAUCCCAUCACAGCCAAAGCCAUCGCCAAGAGCGUGGGGAUCAUUUCGGCCAACAGCGAGACAGUGGAAGACAUCGCCAGUCGCCUCAACAUUGCUGUGGAGCAAGUGAACAAGUGGGACGCCAAGGCCGCCGUGGUGACCGGCCAGGAGCUGAAGGACAUGAGCCCGGAGCAGCUUGACCAGCUCCUGGCCAGCUACCCGGAAAUCGUCUUUGCCCGCACGUCCCCGCAGCAGAAGCUGAUCAUCGUGGAGGGCUGCCAGAGGCAGGACGCGGUCGUGGCCGUGACAGGGGACGGAGUUAACGACUCUCCCGCCCUGAAGAAGGCAGACAUCGGCAUCGCCAUGGGCAUCGCGGGCUCCGACGCAGCCAAGAACGCCGCCGACAUGGUCCUGCUGGAUGACAACUUCGCGUCCAUCGUCACGGGGGUGGAGGAGGGCCGCCUGAUCUUUGACAACCUGAAGAAGACCAUCGCGUACACCCUGACCAAGAACAUCGCCGAGCUCUGCCCCUUCCUCAUCUACAUCAUCGCGGGGCUGCCCCUGCCCAUCGGCACCAUCACCCUCCUGUUCAUCGACCUGGGCACAGACAUCAUCCCCUCUGUUGCCUUGGCCUACGAGAAAGCCGAGAGUGACAUCAUGAACAGGAAGCCUCGCCACAAGAAGAGGGACAGACUGGUGAACAUGCCCCUUGCCGUGUACUCCUACCUGCACAUCGGCCUCAUGCAAGCCCUGGGAGCCUUCCUCGUGUAUUUCACCGUCUACGCGCAGCAGGGCUUUCUGCCCCUCGCUCUCAUUAACCUGCGGGUGGAGUGGGAAAAGGAUUACGUGAAUGACUUGGAAGACAGCUACGGCCAGGAGUGGACUCGGUACCAGAGGCGACACCUAGAAUGGGCCGGCUACACGGCUUUCUUCGUGGGCAUCCUCGUCCAGCAAAUAGCAGAUCUGAUCAUCAGGAAGACCCGGAGGAACUCCAUCUUCCAGCAGGGUCUCUUCAGAAAUAAAGUCAUCUGGGUGGGGAUCUUCUCGCAGAUCGUCGUCGGGCUGCUCGUCUGCUACGGCCUUGGGAGUGUCACAGCCCUGAGUUUCGCCGUGCUCAGGAGAGCAGGGAAAAUGGACAGGAAGCCCGUGCCCGUUGGCCAGGUUGGCCUGUCCCUUUGGACGAGCCAGGACUCACUUCCCUCCCUUCUGCUCCCAGGGCUCAGUACUGGUUUGUGGCCGUGCCACACGCCAUCCUGAUUUGGGUGUACGACGAGGGGCGGAAACUCUUCAUCAGGCUCUACCCUGGAAGCUGGUGGGAUAAGAACAUGUACUACUGAGACCACCUCCCUGCCCGGGGCUCCCGGCGGCACACUGGGGAUGCUCCUGUUUGUCCUCUGGGCACUCGCCCGGAGAUCCCUCUGCAGCGCCGACGUCGUCAAGAUGCACACGAGCAAGCGUUUGUGCAGAAAGCCACGUGAACGACGCUCACUGAGGUUUUGUCCUUUAAAGCUGAGAUUCCACUAUUUAUAUAUGAUUUUCAUCUCUAUCCCAUCUCCUUAUUUUAGAUAUGUGAAUUUCAAGGUCUUGGUCUAGGGAAGGACUGUUAAUGCACAUAAAACUCCCUGAUGUUAAAUGGUCUUGAACCCCAGGCAUCCGCUGGGGUCUGCCUCGCGCCCCAGACAGGAUUGCUUAGGCCGCCUUCCCACACCCUAUUAAAGGCCAGUGACCUCCCCAAGAUUCUUGUGAAUCCCCUAGAACGUAUAUUUUUGUAAUCGCCUUGCUCAGGAAAGGCUAACUCAGCCAAAGAUUUGCAGGAGAUAGAAGUGGUGGCAGGUUUACGUCGCAGGCGCACGGAGGACCUCAGUUCUGACUCAGGGACGUCCUUGUUGAAGGCUCUCGCCACCUGGCCGUGACUGUUUCCCUGACCGUGUCACCUCCUUGACACCUCUCGUCACCUCUCCAGCCCUUUUGUCCCCCUCCGCCAUGGCCUUCCACCCCUGCCACCAGCUCUGAGCUCCACGUCCAUCUUGCAGACCCCAACUCAGAAUGCUCAGCUGACGCGAAGGGGCGUCGCCAGCAUCCAACCCCAGCGGAGAGCACUGUGGUUUCGGUACUCGAUAUUUAUUUCUUGUAAAGCAGGUGCCAGGCGCGCUCCAGCGGUAAUGUCAUGUCAGCCAUGUUCAUGGUCACGGGCCUGGAGAGGCCUCGUUUUUAAGUAAAAGACGUUUUAUAAAACCA